CCCUUAGAUGUUCUGGGCCGCACGCGCGCUACACUGAUGCAUUCAACGAGUCUAAAACCUGCUCUGAUAGGGGUGGGUAAUCUUUUGAAUGUGCAUCGUGAUUGGGAUAGAUGAUUGCAAUUUUUCAUCUUCAACGAGGAAUGCCUAGUAAACGCAAGUCAUCAGCUUGCAUUGAUUACGUCCCUGCCCUUUGUACACACCGCCCGUCGCUCCUACCGAUUGAAUGAUCCGAUGAAUAUCAUGGAUUGAGGAUACAAGUAGGUUCGCCUAUCUUCAUCUUCGAGAAGUGAAGUAAAUCUUAUCAUUUAGAGGAAGGAGAAGUCGUAACA
Molecule: ribosomal RNA, 329 nt
Filed under: uncultured eukaryote
Lineage: Eukaryota
Description: partial 18S ribosomal RNA
Rfam family: Eukaryotic small subunit ribosomal RNA
Source: RNAcentral